This 453-nucleotide ribosomal RNA is filed under the name Triticum aestivum (bread wheat). RNAcentral describes it as "partial small subunit ribosomal RNA". Lineage: Eukaryota; Viridiplantae; Streptophyta; Magnoliopsida; Poales; Poaceae. The record is from RNAcentral.
AUGCCAUGCCAAUUUAAUAUGAUUUUUUCGGGAAUAUUUAAGAAUUUACUAUGCAAAAAUUACCAUGGGGAGAGCUGCCACCUGGCCACGAGGGUGGAGGGCGCGCCCUACCCCCUUGGGCGUGCCCCCCUGCCUCGUGGGCCCACGGUGGCCCUCCUUCACUUAUUCCUGCACCCAUCUUCUUCCUCUGUCUCACACAAACACGAAAAACCAACUCAAGCACGAGUUCCAGCCCCCGUUGCUAUGAUUUUUAAUCUCCUUGCUCAAAGCACCUCUUGCAAAACUGCUUGGGGAGAUUGUUCCUUGGUAUGUGACUCCUCCAUUGGUCCAAAUAGUUUUUGUUCUAGUGCUUUAUUCAUUGCAAAUUUGUGCUGCAUAGGUGACCAUGUUCUUGAGCUUGCAUGUCAAAUUUAUAUGGUUCCAAGUAGUUCCAAUGCUUUAUAUAGGCUCUAG